UACGGAGGGUGCAAGCGUUAUCCGGAAUCACUGGGUUUAAAGGGUGCGUAGGCGGCCCGAUCAGUCAGUCGUGAAAUCGCUGGGCUUAACCCAUGCAACUGCGAUUGAUACUGUCGGGCUUGAAUCAGGUUGAGGCAGGCGGAAUGUGACAUGUAGCGGUGAAAUGCAUAGAUAUGUCAUAGAACACCGAUUGCGAAGGCAGCUUGCUGGACCUUGAUUGACGCUGAGGCACGAAAGCGUGGGGAGCAAACAGG
Molecule: ribosomal RNA, 254 nt
Filed under: uncultured bacterium
Lineage: Bacteria
Description: partial 16S ribosomal RNA
Rfam family: Bacterial small subunit ribosomal RNA
Source: RNAcentral